UUUAACCCAUAAGUCAGCCGAGCUACGAAGACUCUGAUUCUCAUAUUCUGAUGAGAUACGUAUACAGUGGAUGCGACAUCCGUGCGAGUCAUUUUCUUUUGACCCCUCUUUUAGUAAAUAGUACAUUAGAUAAACCCACACCCUCUAGACAAGAACAACAAGAGUGGAUCCCGUAGAGUACUAUGGAUGCGUAGGGGUGCUAAUACCUUCCCUCCGCAUAAUCGACUCCCGAAUCCAAAAUUUGGUUGCGAGACCUUGUCAUUU
Molecule: long non-coding RNA, 264 nt
Filed under: Lathyrus oleraceus (garden pea)
Lineage: Eukaryota; Viridiplantae; Streptophyta; Magnoliopsida; Fabales; Fabaceae
Description: Pisum sativum (pea) long non-coding RNA (PSAT_LNC006126)
Source: RNAcentral